This 73-nucleotide transfer RNA is filed under the name Camelus bactrianus (Bactrian camel). It matches the Rfam family "tRNA". Rfam says of the family: Transfer RNA (tRNA) molecules are approximately 80 nucleotides in length. Their secondary structure includes four short double-helical elements and three loops (D, anti-codon, and T loops). Further hydrogen bonds mediate the characteristic L-shaped molecular structure. tRNAs have two regions of fundamental functional importance: the anti-codon, which is responsible for specific mRNA codon recognition, and the 3' end, to which the tRNAs corresponding amino acid is attached (by aminoacyl-tRNA synthetases). tRNAs cope with the degeneracy of the genetic code in two manners: having more than one tRNA (with a specific anti-codon) for a particular amino acid; and 'wobble' base-pairing, i.e. permitting non-standard base-pairing at the 3rd anti-codon position. Lineage: Eukaryota; Metazoa; Chordata; Mammalia; Artiodactyla; Camelidae. RNAcentral also lists the same sequence under 2 other names. The record is from Rfam by way of RNAcentral.
GAGGGUAUAGCUCAAGUGGUAGAGCACAUGCUUAGUAUGCAGGAGGUCCUGGGUUCAAUUCCCGGUGCCUCCU